Molecule: small RNA, 281 nt
Filed under: marine eukaryotic metagenome
Description: 5' ureB small RNA
Rfam family: 5' ureB small RNA
Source: RNAcentral
UCGAUCUGUUGGGGGCAGAUAAAAUGAAUAUGUGGGUCGAUGCCGCCUGCAGUUAUGAUCUUUCCUUCGCCGGCGAUCGCUUCUGUGCCGGGACCUAUGACAAUGUCAACGUUUGAUUGAAUAUCCGGAUUUCCAGCUUUCCCAAUCGCCAUGACACGUCCAUCUUUAAUCCCAAUGUCGGCUUUUAUUACACCCCAAUGGUCGAGAAUUACUGCAUUGGUGAUCACGGUGUCUGCUGCCCCGUCUGCGCGUGUCACUUGCGACUGCCCCAUGCCGUCACG